AUUGAACGCUGGCGGCAGGCCUAACACAUGCAAGUCGAACGGCAGCACAGAAGAGCUUGCUCUUUGGAUGGCGAGUGGCGGACGGGUGAGUAAUGUCUGGGAAACUGCCCGAUGGAGGGGGAUAACUACUGGAAACGGUAGCUAAUACCGCAUAACGUCGCGAGACCAAAGUGGGGGACCUUCGGGCCUCACACCAUCGGAUGUGCCCAGAUGGGAUUAGCUAGUAGGUGGGGUAAUGGCUCACCUAGGCGACGAUCCCUAGCUGGUCUGAGAGGAUAACCAGCCACACGGGAACUGAGACACGGUCCAGACUCCUACGGGAGGCAGCAGUGGGGAAUAUUGCACAAUGGGCGCAAGCCUGAUGCAGCCAUGCCGCGUGUAUGAAGAAGGCCUUCGGGUUGUAAAGUACUUUCAGCGGGGAGGAAGGCGGUGAGGUUAAUAACCUCGCCGAUUGACGUUACCCGCAGAAGAAGCACCGGCUAACUCCGUGCCAGCCGCCGCUGUAA
Molecule: ribosomal RNA, 506 nt
Filed under: uncultured bacterium
Lineage: Bacteria
Description: partial 16S ribosomal RNA
Rfam family: Bacterial small subunit ribosomal RNA
Source: RNAcentral